UCAGACGAUGCGUCAUGCAUAUCAAUAAGCGGAGGAAAAGAAACUAACAAGGAUUCCCUUAGUAACGGCGAGUGAAGCGGGAAGAGCUCAAAUUUGAAAUCUUCAAGGUUUUACCUUGACGAAUUGUAGUUUAAAGAAGUGUUUUCUGUUGAAGUUUUGGUAAAAGUUCUUUGGAAUAGGACAUCAUAGAGGGUGAGAAUCCCGUAUUUGACCAUUAUUUUCAGCUGUGUGAUACACUUUCAAAGAGUCGGAUUGUUUGGGAAUGCAGUCCAAAAUGGGUGGUAAAUUUCAUCUAAAGCUAAAUAUUGGCGAGAGACCGAUAGCGAACAAGUACCGUGAGGGAAAGAUGAAAAGAACUUUGAAAAGAGAGUUAAACAGUACGUGAAAUUGUCAAAAGGGAAGCGUUUGACACCAGUGUUGUUUUCUCGAAAAUCAAUUAAAAAUGAGUUAGAUUUUGUAUGUGUAUUGACCUUAACAGCUUGCAUUUCAAUUUUCUUGCUUUUUUUAAUGCACUUUUCGUUUAACAAGUCAACAUCAGUUUCUUUCGUCUUAAAAAGGUCAUUGGAAGGUGGCUUUCUUUUCGGAGAAAGUGUUUAUAGCCUUUGGCCUCUGCAAUCGGAGAGACUGAGGUCUGCAGCGUAGACUCUUCGGGGUUAGAUACAUUUGUGCUAAGUUAUAGCUUUUUAUAGACAACUUGUUGACUAUGAUUAGUCUUGUAGCUUACUCGCUUAUGCUAUUUUACCUACGCUUAGGAUGUUGAGUCGUAGAGCACGCAG
RNAcentral lists this ribosomal RNA (776 nucleotides) under uncultured Neocallimastigales. RNAcentral's name for it is "partial large subunit ribosomal RNA". It matches the Rfam family "Eukaryotic large subunit ribosomal RNA", at positions 18 to 628 of the family's 3401-position model. The record is from RNAcentral. Lineage: Eukaryota; Fungi; Neocallimastigomycota; Neocallimastigomycetes; Neocallimastigales.